UGGGGAAUAUUGGACAAUGGGCGAAAGCCUGAUCCAGCCAUGCCGCGUGUGUGAAGAAGGUCUUCGGAUUGUAAAGCACUUUAAGUUGGGAGGAAGGGCUGCAAGUUAAUACCAUGUAGUUUUGACGUUACCAACAGAAUAAGCACCGGCUAACUUCGUGCCAGCAGCCGCGGUAAUACGAAGGGUGCAAGCGUUAAUCGGAAUUACUGGGCGUAAAGCGCGCGUAGGUGGUUUGGUAAGAUGGAUGUGAAAUCCCCGGGCUCAACCUGGGAACUGCAUCCAUAACUGCCUAACUCGAGUACGGUAGAGGGUGGUGGAAUUUCCCGUGUAGCGGUGAAAUGCGUAGAUAUAGGAAGGAACACCAGUGGCGAAGGCGACCACCUGGACUGAUACUGACACUGAGGUGCGAAAGCGUGGGGAGCAAAC
This 426-nucleotide ribosomal RNA is filed under the name uncultured bacterium. RNAcentral's name for it is "bacterial SSU rRNA". It matches the Rfam family "Bacterial small subunit ribosomal RNA", at positions 355 to 773 of the family's 1533-position model. The record is from RNAcentral.